CAACAACACUUACUGUCUCCAUGAGUUUAAGUGCUUCGGUGUCUCUGGGCAUGCUCUAUAUGCCCAAGGUUUAUAUUAUAAUUUUUCAUCCAGAACAGAAUGUUCAAAAACGCAAGAGGAGCUUCAAGGCUGUGGUGACCGCUGCCACCAUGCAAAGCAAACUGAUCCAAAAGGGAAAUGACAGACCAAAUGGCGAAGUGAAAAGUGAACUCUGUGAGAGUCUUGAAACCAACAGUAAGUCAUCCGUAGACUUUCCGAUGGUCAAGAGCGGGAGCACUUCCUGAUAGAUCUUCCUCUACCAAGACGACAUAUAUCAGCUACAGCAAUCAUUCAAUCUGAAACAGGGAAAAGAUACAAUAUGGAGAAACGUGGUAGGCGAUGGUAAACCAUGAACAUGACACCGCCAACACUUACUCCUGGAGAUCUCUGUAGACUACAAUCAAUCAAAUCAAUAGUCAAUCUUGUAAGGAACAAACAGUAGCCACAUGCCAAAAGUAUCAAUAACAGGGAGUGAAUAAACCCAUUUUAUACAACACAACCAAUGAGUGUCAAGCUAAAGUAUUGCUUACUCAAGAGCAGUUAAAAAAAAAAAAUCACAAAAGGAAAACUAAUGUUAGCUUGUGAAAAAAAAUGCUGUUGAAAUAAACCAUGUCUGAUGUUAUUCUUGUAUUUUUCUGUGAUUGUGAGAACUCCCAUUCCUGUCCCACCUUGUUCAACUUGUAUAAGACAAUGAGUCUGUUUCUUGUAAUGGCUGACCGGAUUGAAGCCCUGGGUUGUGCUAAAAAUAAAUGCAAUGGUUGACGCAUGCAAUUUUUUAUACAAAUAAUUUAUUUCUAAUAAUAAAGGAAUGUUUUGCAAAUGUUGAGAGUUGUUUCGUUCCAGUUUUAAAGCCAGGGAAAACUUUUUUCCAGGUGGCACCUCUGUUGUUAUUUAACUCCUCUGUAAAAGCCCUGGUGUGCCAAGAAAAUUCUAUUUCCUCGAGGAAUGUGUUUUUGUACAUUUGCGUGUAUGUGAAGAAGAUUGUCUUUUAUUCCUAUAUGAAAAAGAAUUAUUUGUGUAAGAUUUUGUGAAUAUUUCAAGAUUUAUGUGGUAGCUUUUAAUAGUAACUGCUUCUUUUAUGAAGAAUCAAGCAGUAGCUUGAGGUCAAUUGCUUCAGGUAUCAUAAUUAACAAAUGAUGAGUUAAACUGGGGAGAAUAUAAUCUGAACAUCACUAUCUAAAAGUAUAUUCGAGUGUCACUAAAAUUCUCUAUUUUCUAGGUCAAACUUUGGCAUGAUGAAAUAUUCCAAGUAGUAGCUUUUUCUCACCUGGGCCUAGUAGCCACUGAAAUGAGUGAAGUGAUGGGCCUCACCCAAUACAUUCCUUAAAGCACAGAAUUAGCAUAUUUAUUCCCUGAGCUUCACUAAAGAAACCAAUUCAAAUAACAGGUCAGUGCUUUCUUAUUUUCCAAAUGAAAACAUUCAUUGGUUCAUAGGACAGAAUCAUUAAAGAGAGAGAAAGCAGGGAGUUUUUGUCAUGCUAAUAAACCAUGCUGGAAUGGCUAAAAAGGAGCCUGUUAAAGGCUUUCAAAUCUGCUACCAUUUUUGUCAUGGGCACCUCUAUUCUAUACAAUCCCAGACAUCCAUCAAGUCAAUGGGUCUCUACAAUCAUUUUGUUAGUACAUGUUCUCUCUGCUGCGUUAGCUUGGAUGGCUCAUUGCACUCCAUAUAGAUAUAAAAAGCUAUCUGUGCUCUGUAGCUUCAACCCAGAUAUUGGCAGUCACUUUAUUUAAUAGAAAGAGUUGAAGUAGCAUAGUUCACGCUCCUUCAAAAUUUAGUCAUGUUUCCUAGAUACCAACCCAGACAGAGAGCUGCAUACAGAAGGAAAUGUGUACUUACUGGCCUCUUGUUGAGUUUUUCCUAUUGUUGAGUUUUUGGUGUUUGCAAAUAAUAUUUAAAUCAAGAGAGAGUGUUAUUUUCAUGUUUUCAGAUCAUCUGAAUCACUGAUGAAUAUAAUCCUAUAAUUAGGAUUGUAAACCCACCUCUGGGUGUGCCUUUAUAGAUAAGACCUACUUUAAAACAAAAUAAACUGCAUAUUUACUAUGUU
This 2084-nucleotide long non-coding RNA is filed under the name Sus scrofa (pig). RNAcentral describes it as "lncRNA (ENSSSCG00035062818.1)". Lineage: Eukaryota; Metazoa; Chordata; Mammalia; Artiodactyla; Suidae. The record is from RNAcentral.